UUGGGUGCAUCUCUCUCUCAGAAAGUUCUUCGAAUUUUUGUCUCUGAGCUCUCCCUCUGAAUUUGAUACCCAUGCGGUCAAUAUGUGCCAUCAGGUUAGAGUUAACUAAAGAAAAGAAAAACAAGAGUUUUAGUCAGGAUUUGGCCAAAUGCCGAAAGAAGAAAAGAAGAAAAAAAAUAAAGAAUAUGAAGAAUGAAAACUAAAUAAAAUCAAAUCAAAGAAGAAAUAAAAAUAAAAAUUUGUGGGUUGUCUCCCACGAAGAGCUUUGUUUAAUGUCG
This 278-nucleotide long non-coding RNA is filed under the name Lathyrus oleraceus (garden pea). RNAcentral's name for it is "Pisum sativum (pea) long non-coding RNA (PSAT_LNC018544)". Lineage: Eukaryota; Viridiplantae; Streptophyta; Magnoliopsida; Fabales; Fabaceae. The record is from RNAcentral.